Molecule: long non-coding RNA, 459 nt
Organism: Saccostrea echinata
Lineage: Eukaryota; Metazoa; Mollusca; Bivalvia; Ostreida; Ostreidae
Exons: 4
Source: RefSeq, a predicted model, not a curated record
ACAAAACCUGAAUGAAUAACUAGUUUUAGGUACGACUUACUAAAACAGAGGGAUCAUAAAAGCUACAGAAGACGGGGUAAAAAGUGAGAGAAAGUCCAGUCCUAGCACUGUCGACGGGAUAUUGGGGGACUGCAGUAAAGAUAACAUUUUAGAUAACCAAGAUGUCAAUGACAGCUCAGAUAAAGAAGUAUACACGUUUUGGAUUGAACUUCUUUAGAGGCCGGAACAUCUAUGGCCAGGUUGGAGCUAUAGGAACUGCUGCAGUUUUAUUACUUGUUCUUAGAGAAGAGCUCCACUGGAGAAAAGAAAGUAGUGCAUCCCACUGUAAUUCUAGGCGAUGGCUGAAUAGAGGGGAACCGGUACAAAAGCCUGCAGCAGCAGUAACAACUUAGUGUGUGAAGAAAGUAUUUAUAUGUAGAUAACAUUGAAUGAUGUGUAAAUAAAUUUGUCAAACAAGAA